UACGGAAGGGGCUAGCGUUGUUCGGAAUCACUGGGCGUAAAGCGCGCGUAGGCGGCCGGUCAAGUGCGGCGUGAAAGUCCUGGGCUCAACCCGGGGACGGCGCUGCGGACUGUCCGGCUGGAGUCCGGAAGAGGGUGGUGGAAUUCCGAGUGUAGAGGUGAAAUUCGUAGAUAUUCGCAAGAACACCAGUGGCGAAGGCGGCUCACUGGCCCGAUACUAACGCUGAGGCACGAAAGCGUGGGGAGCAAACAGG
RNAcentral lists this ribosomal RNA (253 nucleotides) under uncultured bacterium. Its description in RNAcentral is "partial 16S ribosomal RNA". It matches the Rfam family "Bacterial small subunit ribosomal RNA", at positions 524 to 776 of the family's 1533-position model. The record is from RNAcentral.